Drosophila pseudoobscura pseudoobscura is the source of this 85-nucleotide non-coding RNA. The record is from Rfam. NCBI's taxonomy places the organism in Eukaryota, Metazoa, Arthropoda, Insecta, Diptera, Drosophilidae.
ACAACUCAAAUGAUGACAUCUACAUACCCAAUUCUGAGAAAUUAUGUUGAAAUCCUUUUAACAUGCAUCACCAUCUGAUAUAAUC